UCCCAUAUAGUCCAGUGGUUAGGAUUUGGCGCUUUCACCGCCACGGCCCGAGUUCAAUUCCUGGUGUGGGAA
RNAcentral lists this transfer RNA (72 nucleotides) under Saccoglossus kowalevskii. Its description in RNAcentral is "tRNA-Glu". It matches the Rfam family "tRNA". Rfam says of the family: Transfer RNA (tRNA) molecules are approximately 80 nucleotides in length. Their secondary structure includes four short double-helical elements and three loops (D, anti-codon, and T loops). Lineage: Eukaryota; Metazoa; Hemichordata; Enteropneusta; Harrimaniidae. The record is from RNAcentral.